UAGCGUAGGGGCAAGCGUUAUCCGGAAGUCAAUUGGGCGUAAAGCGCGUGUAGGCGGUUCCGUAAGUCCGACUCGUGAAAGCCCAGGCUCAACCCUGGGAGGCGGGUGGAUACUACGGAACUGGAGUACGGAAGAGGAGAUUGGAAGUUCUGGUGUAGCGGUGAAAUGCGCAGAUAUCGGGAAGAACACCCGUGGCGAAGGCGGCUCUCUGGGACGGCUACUGAACGCUGAGACGCGAAAGCGUGGGAGCGAACGAG
Molecule: ribosomal RNA, 257 nt
Filed under: uncultured bacterium
Lineage: Bacteria
Description: partial 16S ribosomal RNA
Rfam family: Bacterial small subunit ribosomal RNA
Source: RNAcentral